This is an RNA transcript of Asparagus officinalis (garden asparagus), 2316 nucleotides long. It is a transcript of the gene named GPN-loop GTPase 3-like, with no coding region annotated. The transcript has 9 exons. NCBI's taxonomy places the organism in Eukaryota, Viridiplantae, Streptophyta, Magnoliopsida, Asparagales, Asparagaceae. The record is from RefSeq and is a predicted model, not a curated record.
UGUACGGUCUCCGUCCCUCAACUCCCAAAACCCCUGGAAAACCCUAUAAAAUUCCAAAAUUCUCAAUCCCCUCUUCGAUCUCAAGCAACAAUAUCCAACUGAAAUUUUCGUCUACUUACUGUUCUAGAUUGUAUCAACACCGCGAAGCUCUUCGAAGAGCUAUCCAUGUUGUGAACUACCCUGUGGCAAUGGAUAUUAGAGAACUUGUAUCUUUGGAUGAUGUUAUGGAGGAGCUCGGGUUCGGGCCUAAUGGGGGCUUAACUUACUGUAUGGAUCACCCUUCGUUUGGCUAGUAUGUGUCAUCAUAAUCUCUUGAUUUUAAACACUAAUAGCUGAUCGAAACCAAUGUUUAAAAGAACUCGUUACGAUGCUCGUUUGUUUGCGUUAUGUGACCUAACAUGCCUUAACAUUAUGCAACCUUAUAAAAUAACUCAGACACAUCAUAACUCUACGUUAUUACAGUAUAAUACGCAUUAUUUCAAUAUAACUUACGCUACUUCAGUAUAACAUGCGUUAUUUCAAUAUAGCUUAUGCUAUUUCAAUAUAAGUUGUAGAGACUUGAGAGUAUAUCCUUCUUAAAACUUGAAGUAGUUAAGUAAUUACUAUUAAACUGUUUGUUAAAUCCUCAUGUCUUGUUGUGCUGACAUCAUUAUGUGAUUGUGAAAUUUUGAAUGUGAUUGAUAAAACGAUUGCAAUUAUGAACGAGCUACAACUUUAUGAUUAUAUAUCUGAGUAUCAGAUUGUGAUACUUCCAAGUAAAUCUAUAUAGCUUGUAUCAAAUUAAAGAUUUUUAUUAAAAUAUUUUUGUAUUAUAAUAUUUUGUCCCUAAUUCUUAAAAUUGUGAUGAAUAUCUUUUAUUGUUUUUUAAAUUAACAGUAAGAAAAUAUUAUGUUCCUAAUUGAGAUUUUAUGUUUGAAAAUUUUAAUGAUUCCAAGUAUUAAAGUCAUUAGGAAUAGUUCCUAUUUAUAAAAUAUGUAGAUAAUUAAUAAAGAAUUAACCUACUUUAUGCGUUACGUUUUUCUUGCCUGUUUUUUCCCUAACCCUUAAAGGAGGUAGAGCGUUUUGUUAUUCGUUGUCGUUAUUUUCAACAUUGACCAAAACAAACAUAUUUUCUGCCUGAAAUCAUUGAGGCUGUUAUUGUUAAGUAUGUAAGUGAUAUAGUUUUCGAGGCAACAAAAUAUAAAAUGGUACCAUGAUGAAGUAUUGGGUGCAAAUCUUCCUUGAGAUGUUUUCAGACACCUUCAGGAGAGCUUGGACGAUUGGCUGGAAGAUGAACUGGCAUGGAGAAUUAUUUGGAAGACGAUUGUCUUGUAUUUGAUUGUUCAGGUCAGAUAGAGCUACUUUCACACGUUCCUGUUCUUCGCAACGUUGGGGAACAUCUACAGUGGAGGAACUUCAAAGUGUGUUGUGUUUAUCUCCUUGAUUCUCAGUGGUUGCAUGGCAUCCCUUUCAGCAAUGAUUCAACUUGAACUCCCUCGUGUCAAUACUCUUUCGAAAAUUGAUAUUGUGACAAACAAAAAAGAUAUUGAAGAUUUCUUAAAUCCAGAGGCACCCAUUUUGUUGUCACAGUUGAAUCAGAAUAUUCCUGUUCCAUUUGCGAAGCUUAAUAAAGCUUUGACAGACUUGGUUGGUCAGUUUAACAUGGUGAAUUUUGAGCCCCUCGAUUUAAGAAAGGAAAGAAGGUAUAUAUCAAGAGCCGUUCGCUGUGAACUAUGAGAUCAAUUUGUAAUCUUAGUAAGCUAGACAAUACUGCACUACUGCAGUUUUGCAUCUGCUAUAUCUUUGGCAGCAUGUAUUUUUGCACACACGCGAACUUGUGAGUACAUAAACUCGUAAAAAUGAACAUGCACAAAAAAGGAAGAAAUCCUCAAGCGACGCCAUAUUAUCAAAACCAUAAAUUCAUAUAAUAUGUUCUAUCGAUGCUCGACAACUGUAUCCAGCAUGGAGAAGAUGCUGAUGUAAAGAUAGGAGAUUUUGAUUCAGAGGAUGAUGAAUAGGCUUCAGAGGCAGUUGAGCUUCAAUCAAGAAGAAAAAACUUCAAGGACAUAAAUCUCUUGUGAAAGGAAUCCUGCUGAUAAUUUCGACAACCCGUGGAGAGUUGUCACCUUUGCACACUCGAACUUGUGCUUAGGGGGCAUAUGUGCCAAAGGUCAACGGAACAUAGAUGGGGAUUGAGACUAGUUAACUUGUGAGGAACUCCAUUAUCUUUAGAGUUUAUUGCGGAUAACCGCCCUGUAUUUGCUUGUACAUCCUAACUAUCUUAUUAGUACGUACAUCCAUAUAGAUAUCGUUAUUUGUUCCCCACAAAAAUUGUAU